RNAcentral lists this ribosomal RNA (439 nucleotides) under uncultured bacterium. RNAcentral describes it as "partial 16S ribosomal RNA". It matches the Rfam family "Bacterial small subunit ribosomal RNA", at positions 339 to 795 of the family's 1533-position model. The record is from RNAcentral.
CUACGGGCGGCUCCAGUGGGGAAUAUUGCACAAUGGGGGAAACCCUGAUGCAGCGACGCCGCGUGAGUGAAGAAGUAUUUCGGUAUGUAAAGCUCUAUCAGCAGGGAAGAAAAUGACGGUACCUGACUAAGAAGCCCCGGCUAACUACGUGCCAGCAGCCGCGGUAAUACGUAGGGGGCAAGCGUUAUCCGGAUUUACUGGUGGUAAAGGGAGCGUAGACGGUGAGACAAGUCUGAAGUGAAAUCCCGGGGCUCAACCCCGGAACUGCUUUGGAAACUGCCUGACUAGAGUGCAGGAGAGGUAAGUGGAGUUCCUAGUGUAGCGGUGAAAUGCGUAGAUAUUAGGAGGAACACCAGUGGCGAAGGCGGCUUACUGGACUGUAACUGACGUUGAGGCUCGAAAGCGUGGGGAGCAAACAGGAUUAGAUACCCUAGUAGUC